UGCCUACGGGAGGCAGCAGUGGGGAAUAUUGCACAAUGGGGGGAACCCUGAUGCAGCAACGCCGCGUGAAGGAAGACAGUUUUCGGAUUGUAAACUUCUAUCAAUAGGGAAGAAAGAAAUGACGGUACCUAAAUAAGAAGCCCCGGCUAACUACGUGCCAGCAGCCGCGGUAAUACGUAGGGGGCAAGCGUUAUCCGGAAUUACUGGGUGUAAAGGGAGAGUAGGCGGCAAGGUAAGCGAUAUGUGAAAGCCUUAGGCUUAACCUGAGGAUUGCAUAACGAACUAUCUAGCUAGAGUACAGGAGA
This 305-nucleotide ribosomal RNA is filed under the name uncultured bacterium. RNAcentral describes it as "bacterial SSU rRNA". It matches the Rfam family "Bacterial small subunit ribosomal RNA", at positions 335 to 655 of the family's 1533-position model. The record is from RNAcentral.